UUUGGAAAACACUGUGGAAGCAAUCCAAAGGUUUUUUUUUUGUUUUAUGCUACCAUUACUCAAGUGACAGCCUUCUGCAAUGCUGCAUGUUGCUUUUGC
This is a long non-coding RNA of Melanotaenia boesemani (Boeseman's rainbowfish), 99 nucleotides long. RefSeq lists it as uncharacterized. NCBI's taxonomy places the organism in Eukaryota, Metazoa, Chordata, Actinopteri, Atheriniformes, Melanotaeniidae. The transcript has 3 exons. The record is from RefSeq and is a predicted model, not a curated record.